Molecule: ribosomal RNA, 385 nt
Filed under: uncultured bacterium
Lineage: Bacteria
Description: bacterial SSU rRNA
Rfam family: Bacterial small subunit ribosomal RNA
Source: RNAcentral
AUUGAACGCUGGCGGCAUGCUUUACACAUGCAAGUCGAACGGGCUGGGGGCGAACUCCAGUCAGUGGCGAACGGGUGAGUAAUACAUCGGAACGUACCUCGUAGUGGGGGAGUAACUCGGCGAAAGACCGUGCUAAUACCGCAUAUGCUCUACGGAGGAAAGACAGGGGACCGCAAGGCCUUGUGCUCCUGGAGCGGCCGAUAUCUGAUUAGCUAGUUGGUGGGGUAAAGGCCUACCAAGGCAUCGAUCAGUAGCUGGUCUGAGAGGACGGACCAGCCACACUGGAACUGAGACACGGUCCAGACUCCUACGGGAGGCAGCAGUGGGGAAUUUUGGACAAUGGGCGCAAGCCUGAUCCAGCAAUGCCGCGUGAGUGAAGAAGGCC